AAAUCACCUAGUGGCAUGAGUCACUACACCAGGCCAACUAUCUCUUAAAAUAUGGGCACGCACAGGUGUGGUGGUGGGCGCCUGUAAUCUCAACUACAUGGGAGGCUGAGGCAGGAGAAUCACUUGAGCCCGGGAGGCGGAGGUUGCAGUGAGCCGAGAUCAUGCCAUUGCACUCCAGCCUGGGCGACAGAGUGAGACUCUGUCUCAAAAAAAAAAAAAAAAAAAUGCG
RNAcentral lists this long non-coding RNA (229 nucleotides) under Homo sapiens (human). RNAcentral describes it as "HSALNT0299310". The record is from RNAcentral. Lineage: Eukaryota; Metazoa; Chordata; Mammalia; Primates; Hominidae.